Molecule: ribosomal RNA, 253 nt
Filed under: uncultured bacterium
Lineage: Bacteria
Description: partial 16S ribosomal RNA
Rfam family: Bacterial small subunit ribosomal RNA
Source: RNAcentral
UACGUAGGGGGCUAGCGUUGUUCGGAUUUACUGGGCGUAAAGCGCACGUAGGCGGCUCGUUAAGUCAGGGGUGAAAUCCUGGAGCUCAACUCCAGAACUGCCUUUGAUACUGGCGAUCUUGAGUCCGGGAGAGGUGAGUGGAACUGCGAGUGUAGAGGUGAAAUUCGUAGAUAUCAAGCGGAACACCGGUGGCGAAGGCGGCCUUCUGGACAGUAACUGACGCUGAGACGCGAAAGCGUGGGGAGCAAACAGG